AGGGCGGGGUGUCAGGUCGGAGGUGCCCUCCCACUUGUUGCAGACUGGGGAACUGAGGCCGGGGCCGUGGGCUCAGAGGCAGUCACGGCCUGAAGCCGCCACGCCUGAGCUAGGAUGCGGGGGCCGUCCUCCCCUCUUGGGGAUCCAGUCCCCAAGGCAGGAGAGCGCCACCCCUCCAUGCAACAAAGACUUCCUGAGCAGUGAGCGCCACUGUGUGCAGGUCGCCUCACCUCCGAUUCACAUCCUGUCUUGGUUUAAUCUUCAAACCACUUUGGGCAAGAUGAGUGAGGCACAGAGAGGAAAUGUCAUCUACCUAAAGCACUCCAGCAGUGGUUGGAAGAGUCAGGAUUGAACCCAGAUCUCCUGGCUUCAGAGGGAGUAAGCUCUUAAGAAGAAUUAAGGAAGAGUGCAGACAGCAUGUUGGUCUGGGCCUGCGUUUCCCUAACUGUAACAAGGGGUAGCCAGCCACCAGGUCUUGAGGAUGCUCAAGCAGCUCCAUGGAGAGAUUCAAGCAGCGAGGAGCUGAGGCCUCCUGCCAACAGCCAGCGCCCACUUGCAAGCUGCAUGAGUGCACCGUCUUGAACGUGGAUCCUCCAGCCCCAGUCAAGCCUUCAGAUGUGUUCCUCCUUACCUGACAUCUUGACUAUCACUGUGGGGAUGCCCUAAAACAAACUGCUCAGCUAAACUGCUCCCGAAUCCUGACCCAGAGAAACUGUAGAUGAUAUAUGUUCCUUGUUUUGAGCUGCUAAAUUGUGUGGUGGUUUGUUAGACAGCAGAGGAUAACUAAUAUGUGUAUGUAGCACAGUGCCUGGCAUAGUAUGUGCUCAACAAAUGAUAGCAAGGUGAUAUUAUUAAUCACUCUUCUUCUUGGGAACCACGCUUUGUAACUAGAUUGAGCUCGUUGUACCAGCUUCCUUCUUUCCUCGGGCUGUGGCCUGUUCUAGCCAAGGCAACGGAGGGCUAGUCCCCUUAGUUUGCCAGCUGUGUCUGAAUCCUUCUUUGACUUGAAGCGGGUCCUCCACACCACUGUCCACAGCCAUUGCCAUUUAGGACUAGCUAAUCUAUUUCCUGCUUUUGUAAUGUCUUCAACAUCAGGACUGUAUUAAAAAAAAAAAAAAUGAGUACAGGCCUCCUGGCCUGUCUAUUUGUAUAUGAAAGUAAAGACUCCUAAGGUUAGGAGGAACCUCAUUGUCUCCUCAUCUAAUCCCCCUCCCUCUCACGUUAAUCGGAUGCCCUCAUUUUCCUAUUUGGGCUCCUGGACUUCAUCUACUCACCUGCCUUCCUCAACAUCAUCCCCUUUCAGAGCUCAUCAUUCUCUGCUUUUGAAAACUCUCUCACCAGUAAGCAUCUGUUUCCUCCCAACCUUGCUCCCUGAGCAAGUGGAAUCUGAAACCUGUCCCUCCUGGAUGUUUCUAUCUGAGAAGGAGCCAGUCACUCCUGAGCUGACCACCCGCAUCCAUCUUCCUCCAUACCCAUUUCCUGUUGCUUUGCUGUCCCAUCAGGCUGGAAAGUAGCCACUGUCAGCUGCACUCUGGUGGCGGGGCCAUCUGGAACAAAUGCUGCUAUCUCUAGAC
Equus quagga is the source of this 1574-nucleotide long non-coding RNA. RefSeq lists it as uncharacterized. The transcript has 3 exons. Lineage: Eukaryota; Metazoa; Chordata; Mammalia; Perissodactyla; Equidae. The record is from RefSeq and is a predicted model, not a curated record.